AGCACAUAUUAAACAUAAUCCUUACACAAUUGGUACUUAGGUACAGCAAAAAUAAUUGAAUUAACUGUAAAUACAUGUUUUUUAUUUAUUUAUUUUCAGUCCACAGGAAGUCCGGAGAGGAUGGUUGCAGUGUUGAUAUGGAGCUGACAUCUUUGCUCGGCUGCACUGUUGGAUAACCUAGCAAGCUAGCGCUAAACGGAUUUAACAGAGGGUAAAUAGAUGUGUUAACUCACAAAUUGAGCUUUAUAGAAAACGACAGGCUAUGGCAUUGACAUUUUUCAGAUAAUAAACCACUUCCAGGGAUAAAAUGUCGGCGUUGCUGUUGCAGCAUCGUAGUGGUUUUUGUAGAAAAUACAGUACAGGGUUAUUGUGGACACUGUCAAGGCGAAACUCUCACCUACUAUCACACAAGCCUUCAUCCAGCAAUAGUGUUCAAAAUGUGCUGCUCAGGUGUGCUAAUGUCAGAAAGGUACUUCUUUCAAAAUCGAAUCGGACACUUACAAGUGAACCACAGAAACUCAUUCAGAGCUCUCCUCACACAGACCCUUGGGACCUGCA
Long non-coding RNA from Notothenia coriiceps (black rockcod), 558 nucleotides. RefSeq lists it as uncharacterized. NCBI's taxonomy places the organism in Eukaryota, Metazoa, Chordata, Actinopteri, Perciformes, Nototheniidae. The transcript is spliced from 4 exons. The record is from RefSeq and is a predicted model, not a curated record.